This 460-nucleotide ribosomal RNA is filed under the name uncultured bacterium. Its description in RNAcentral is "partial 16S ribosomal RNA". It matches the Rfam family "Bacterial small subunit ribosomal RNA", at positions 338 to 795 of the family's 1533-position model. The record is from RNAcentral.
CCUACGGUAGGCAGCAGUGAGGAAUAUUGGUCAAUGGGCGCGAGCCUGAACCAGCCAAGUAGCGUGAAGGAUGACUGCCCUACGGGUUGUACACUUCUUUUAUAAAGGAAUCAAGUGAGGCACGUGUGCCUUUUUGUAUGUACUUUAUGAAUAAGGAUCGGCUAACUCCUGGCCAGCAGCCGCGGUAAUACGGAGGAUCCGAGCGUUAUCCGGAUUUAUUGGGUUUAAAGGGAGCGUAGAUGGGUUUUUAAGUCAGUUGUUAAAGUUGUCGGCUCAACCGUAAAAUUGCAAUUGAUACUGGCAGCCUUGAGUACAGUUGAGGUAGGCGGAAUGCGUGGUGUAGCGGUGAAAUGCGUAGAGAUCACGAAGAACUCCGAUUGCGAAGGCAGCUUACUAAACUGCCACUGACAUUGAUGCUCGAAAGUGUGGGUAUCAAACAGGAUUAGAUACCCUUGUAGUC